This 219-nucleotide small nuclear RNA is filed under the name Xenopus laevis (African clawed frog). Its description in RNAcentral is "U2 spliceosomal RNA". The stretch from base 43 to 219 matches the Rfam family "U2 spliceosomal RNA". From Rfam's summary of the family: U2 is a small nuclear RNA (snRNA) component of the spliceosome (involved in pre-mRNA splicing). Complementary binding between U2 snRNA (in an area lying towards the 5' end but 3' to hairpin I) and the branchpoint sequence (BPS) of the intron results the bulging out of an unpaired adenosine, on the BPS, which initiates a nucleophilic attack at the intronic 5' splice site, thus starting the first of two transesterification reactions that mediate splicing. Lineage: Eukaryota; Metazoa; Chordata; Amphibia; Anura; Pipidae. The record is from Rfam by way of RNAcentral.
AUGGAUUUUCUGAGUGAAAAAAAAAAAAAAAAAAAAAAAAAAGAAGGUUAAGGAAAAAGAAAAAAAAACCCUGUUCUUAGUUUAAUAUCUGAUACGUCCCCUAUCUGGGGACCAUAUAUUAAAUGGAUUUUUGGAACAAGGAGAUGGAAGAAGAGCUUGCUCUGUCCACUCCACGCAUCGACCUGGUAUUGCAUUACCUCCAGGACCGGUGCACUUCUC